AGUGAACGCUGGCGGUAGGCCUAACACAUGCAAGUCGAACGGCAGCACAGUAAGAGCUUGCUCUUACGGGUGGCGAGUGGCGGACGGGUGAGGAGUACAUCGGAAUCUACUUUUUCGUGGGGGAUAACGUAGGGAAACUUACGCUAAUACCGCAUACGACCUACGGGUGAAAGCAGGGGAUCUUCGGACCUUGCGCGAUUGAAUGAGCCGAUGUCGGAUUAGCUAGUUGGCGGGGUAAAGGCCCACCAAGGCGACAAUCCGUAGCUGGUCUGAGAGGAUGAUCAGCCACACUGGAACUGAGACACGGUCCAGACUCCUACGGGAGGCAGCAGUGGGGAAUAUUGGACAAAGGGCGCAAGCCUGAUCCAGCCAUACCGCGUGGGUGAAGAAGGCCUUCGGGUUGUAAAGCCCUUUUGUUGGGAAAGAAAAGCAGCAGGUUAAUACCCCGCUGUUCUGACGGUACCCAAAGAAUAAGCACCGGCUAACUUCGUG
RNAcentral lists this ribosomal RNA (492 nucleotides) under uncultured bacterium. Its description in RNAcentral is "partial 16S ribosomal RNA". It matches the Rfam family "Bacterial small subunit ribosomal RNA", at positions 29 to 507 of the family's 1533-position model. The record is from RNAcentral.